This 477-nucleotide ribosomal RNA is filed under the name uncultured bacterium. Its description in RNAcentral is "partial 16S ribosomal RNA". It matches the Rfam family "Bacterial small subunit ribosomal RNA", at positions 28 to 507 of the family's 1533-position model. The record is from RNAcentral.
GAUUAACGCUGGCGGCGUGCAUAACACAUGCAAGUCGAACGAUGAAACUUAAAUGAUUUCUUCGGAAUGAACUUAAGUGGAUUAGUGGCGGACGGGUGAGUAACGCGUGAGUAACCUGCCUUACACAAGGGGAUAGCCGUUGGAAACGACGAAUAAUACCCUAUGAAACUAUCACUUCGCAUGCAGCGAUAGUCAAAGUGUUAGCGGUGUAAGAUGGACUUGCGUCUGAUUAGCUAGUUGGUGAGAAAAAAGCCCACCAAGGCAACGAUCAGUAGCCGGCUUGAGAGAGUGUACGGCCACAUUGGGACUGGGGCACGGCCCAGACUCCUACGGGAGGCAGCAGUGGGGAAUUUUGCACAAUGGGGGAAACCCUGAUGCAGCGACGCCGCGUGAUUUAGAAGGCCUUCGGGUUGUAAAAUUCUUUUGUAUAGGAAGAAAAUGACAUUACUAUACGAAUAAGGUCCGGCUAAUUACGUG